Molecule: microRNA precursor, 86 nt
Organism: Medicago truncatula (barrel medic)
Lineage: Eukaryota; Viridiplantae; Streptophyta; Magnoliopsida; Fabales; Fabaceae
Rfam family: MIR2617 microRNA precursor family
Source: Rfam
AAGUAGUGUGACAUGCCCGUUUAGUGUUAAACUCUGAUGUAUUAUUUAUUAUUUAAUUGUUUGGGAUAAUGGGGUGUUACAAUCAU